AAUCUUUCACAAUGGACGACAGUCUGAUGGAGCAACGCCGCGUGAGUGAAGAAGGUUUUCGGAUCGUAAAGCUCUGUUGUGGGGGAAGAACAAGUACAGGAGUCACUGUCUGUACCUUGACGGUACCUCACCAGAAAGCCACGGCUAACUACGUGCAAGCACCCGAGGUAAUACGUACGUGGCAAGCGUUGUCCGGAAUUAUUGGGCGUAAAGCGCGCGCAGGCGGUCCUUUAAGUCUGAUGUGAAAGCCCACGGCUCAACCGUGGAGGGUCAUUGGAAACUGGAGGACUUGAGUACAGAAGAGGAAAGCGGAAUUCCACGUGUAGCGGUGAAAUGCGUAGAGAUGUGGAGGAACACCAGUGGCGAAGGCGGCUUUCUGGUCUGUAACUGACGCUGAGGCGCGAAAGCGUGGGGAGCAAAC
RNAcentral lists this ribosomal RNA (421 nucleotides) under uncultured bacterium. RNAcentral describes it as "partial 16S ribosomal RNA". It matches the Rfam family "Bacterial small subunit ribosomal RNA", at positions 360 to 773 of the family's 1533-position model. The record is from RNAcentral.